RNAcentral lists this ribosomal RNA (468 nucleotides) under uncultured bacterium. RNAcentral describes it as "partial 16S ribosomal RNA". It matches the Rfam family "Bacterial small subunit ribosomal RNA", at positions 28 to 507 of the family's 1533-position model. The record is from RNAcentral.
GACGAACGCUGGCGGCGUGCUUAACACAUGCAAGUCGAACGGAAAGGCCCUGCUUUUGUGGGGUGCUCGAGUGGCGAACGGGUGAGUAACACGCGAGUAACCUGCCCUUGACAUUGGGAUAACUUCAGGAAACUGGGGCGAAUACCGGAUAGGAGCUCCUGCUGCAUGGUGGGGGUUGGAAAGAUUCGGCGGUUGGGGAUGGACUCGCGGCUUAUCAGCUUGUUGGUGGGGUAGUGGCUUACCAAGGCUUUGACGGGUAGCCGGCCUGAGAGGGUGACCGGCCACAUUGGGACUGAGAUACGGCCCAGACUCCUACGGGAGGCAGCAGUGGGGAAUAUUGCACAAUGGGCGGAAGCCUGAUGCAGCAACGCCGCGUGCGGGAUGACGGCCUUCGGGUUGUAAACCGCUUUCGCCUGUGACGAAGCGUGAGUGACGGUAAUGGGUAAAGAAGCACCGGCUAACUACGUG